GAAAAAAAAUUAAUUGAAGCUGCUAACUUUGAUUAGGGGAAUAUCUCCUUUUUUCU
RNAcentral lists this transfer RNA (56 nucleotides) under Biomphalaria straminea. Its description in RNAcentral is "tRNA-Ser". Lineage: Eukaryota; Metazoa; Mollusca; Gastropoda; Planorbidae. The record is from RNAcentral.